GACGAACGCUGGCGGCGUGCCUAAUACAUGCAAGUUGAGCGCUGAAGGUUGGUACUUGUACCAACUGGAUGAGCAGCGAACGGGUGAGUAACGCGUGGGGAAUCUGCCUUUGAGCGGGGGACAACAUUUGGAAACGAAUGCUAAUACCGCAUAAAAACUUUAAACACAAGUUUUAAGUUUGAAAGAUGCAAUUGCAUCACUCAAAGAUGAUCCCGCGUUGUAUUAGCUAGUUGGUGAGGUAAAGGCUCACCAAGGCGAUGAUACAUAGCCGACCUGAGAGGGUGAGCGGCCAGAUUGGGACGGAGACACGGCACAAACUCCUACGGAAGGCAGCAGGAGGGCAUCUUCAGCAAUGGACGAGAGUCUGACCGAGCAGCGCGGCGUGAGUAAGGAGGGUUUUCGGAUCGUAAAACUCUGUUGGUAGAGAAGAACGUUGGUGAGAGUGGAAAGCUCAUCAAGUGACGGUAACUACCCAGAAAGGGACGGCUAACUACGUG
Molecule: ribosomal RNA, 497 nt
Filed under: uncultured bacterium
Lineage: Bacteria
Description: partial 16S ribosomal RNA
Rfam family: Bacterial small subunit ribosomal RNA
Source: RNAcentral